This is a long non-coding RNA of Melanotaenia boesemani (Boeseman's rainbowfish), 364 nucleotides long. RefSeq lists it as uncharacterized. Lineage: Eukaryota; Metazoa; Chordata; Actinopteri; Atheriniformes; Melanotaeniidae. The transcript has 3 exons. The record is from RefSeq and is a predicted model, not a curated record.
UCAUUUUUUUAAAUCAACCGUUACUAUGGCGGCAUUAUCAUGCCAAAAUCCCGCGAGAGUAAACGAGAUCCUGCGCGAGAGGAAUUGAGAUCCGCGCGCGAGUUCCACGGGGCGUUGUGGAGACACGCGCGCGAAUGAAGCAGUCCGAGCGCGCGUGCGCGCGCGAUUUCUCCGCGCGCGCGGGCAGUAUCUCCUCUCGCCUGAGUUUGCUUGCUUGCAGGGAAUAUCGGAGCCCUCGCGCGGAGAAUGUCUGCUCGCUGGCUCGUGCUGCUCACUCGCGGUAAAGUUUAUUGGCAGUAAGUGGGCGGGGCCCGCGGGUUUUCUGUCAUUACACACGAUUGGCUACAGUCCCCGUCCUCUGUGA